GUGGACUACAAGCCCCUCAGGUUUAAAUGGUGGUACGUGUAGCCAGACUGGGCCUUUGCACUGGGCUGGGCCAUGGCCCUCUCCUCCAACCUCCUGGUGCCACUGUGAUCGAUUGGCAGGAUCUAUGUUGGCACAGGCCGCCUCAGGCAGUCUUCUGCCAUGAAUCAUUCAUCCAUAAACAGAUUUAGGAUACUACUGAGGAGAUUACCAUUGUGGGAGCCAGGAGGAGGAAAGCCAAGAGGACAAUUCAGACCCAGAGCUGAGGUGGCUCCAAAAAACCCAGCAACUCAAGGACAAGAAAAUGAGACGACAGAAGCUGUAUUCAAAUGUGAUCCGUGAGCAGAACAAGAAGAUAAGUAGGAUUACCUUUCUGCCGGACGCCAAGAACCCAUUGGGCAGUGACAACAAGGACAACAUGGUUCCCAGAAGGGAUUCUCUCUCUGAUUCUCUCUCUGUCUCUCUCUCUGUCUCUCUCUCUGAUUCUGUCUGUCUGUCUGUCUGUCUGUCUGUCUGUCUGUCUGUCUGUCUGUCUGUCUGUCUGUCUGUCUGUCUGUCUGUCU
Molecule: long non-coding RNA, 560 nt
Filed under: Salmo salar (Atlantic salmon)
Lineage: Eukaryota; Metazoa; Chordata; Actinopteri; Salmoniformes; Salmonidae
Description: lncRNA (ENSSSAG00000099831.1, ENSSSAG00020061516.1)
Source: RNAcentral